UACGUAGGGUGCAGGCGUUAAUCGGAAUUACUGGGCGUAAAGCGUGCGCAGGCGGUUUCUUAAGUCAGAUGUGAAAGCCCCGGGCUUAACCUGGGAACUGCGUUUGAAACUGGGAGACUUGAGUGUGGCAGAGGGGGGUGGAAUUCCACGUGUAGCAGUGAAAUGCGUAGAUAUGUGGAGGAAUACCGAUGGCGAAGGCAGGUCUCUGGGCUGACACUGACGCUCAUGCACGAAAGCGUGGGGAGCAAACAGG
Molecule: ribosomal RNA, 253 nt
Filed under: uncultured bacterium
Lineage: Bacteria
Description: partial 16S ribosomal RNA
Rfam family: Bacterial small subunit ribosomal RNA
Source: RNAcentral